This 331-nucleotide unclassified non-coding RNA is filed under the name soil metagenome. RNAcentral's name for it is "partial contains 5.8S ribosomal RNA, internal transcribed spacer 2, and large subunit ribosomal RNA". The stretch from base 1 to 120 matches the Rfam family "5.8S ribosomal RNA", at positions 35 to 154 of the family's 154-position model. The record is from RNAcentral.
GAUGAAGAACGUAGCGAAAUGCGAUAAGCAAUGUGAAUUGCAGAAUUCAGUGAAUCAUCGAAUCUUUGAACGCACAUUGCGCCCCCUGGUAUUCCGGGGGGCAUGCCUGUUCGAGCGUCAUUUCACCACUCAAGCCUCGCUUGGUAUUGGGCAACGCGGUCCGCCGCGUGCCUCAAAUCGACCGGCUGGGUCUUCUGUCCCCUAAGCGUUGUGGAAACUAUUCGCUAAAGGGUGUUCGGGAGGCUACGCCGUAAAACAACCCCAUUUCUAAGGUUGACCUCGGAUCAGGUAGGGAUACCCGCUGAACUUAAGCAUAUCAAUAAGCGGAGGA